CAGUCGCCGCGGUAAGACAGAGGAUGCAAGCGUUAUCCGGAAUGAUUGGGCGUAAAGCGUCUGUAGGUGGCUUUUCAAGUCCGCCGUCAAAUCCCAGGGCUCAACCUUGGACAGGCGGUGGAAACUACCAAGCUGGAGUACGGUAGGGGCAGAGGGAAUUUCCAGUGGAGCGGUGAAAUGCGUUGAGAUCGAAAAGAACACCAACAGCGAAAGCACUCUGCUGGGACGACACUGACACUAAGAGACGAAAGCUAGGGGAGCAAAUGGGAUUAGAUACCCGUGUAGUCCCUGUCUCUUAUAC
RNAcentral lists this ribosomal RNA (301 nucleotides) under uncultured bacterium. RNAcentral's name for it is "partial 16S ribosomal RNA". It matches the Rfam family "Bacterial small subunit ribosomal RNA", at positions 509 to 807 of the family's 1533-position model. The record is from RNAcentral.